AUCCCUCCAACUCCAAAAUUUCCCUAAUUUCCAUUUUCACUUCCCCCCAUCAUUUCCCUCUCAAAUAAAAUUUCCCUAAUUCGAUUUUGACAAAACCCUAACUGCAAUUUCAUUUCCACAAAGAAGACCUAAUUCCAUUUCACAUUCGCUCUUAAGCAAAACCCUAAUUUCAUUUUUGUGUUCUUCUAGUGUUUCUGUUGUUCGUUUUUGCUCCCGAAUUUUUCUUGAUCUAUCGUUCAUCUGGGUUACUUUCGUUCGUCUAGGUUGCUUUCUUUCAUUUGGGUUCCUCUCAUUCUUGUGUUUGUCUGGCUUCCUUUCAUUCAUUUGGGUUCCUCUUGUUCCAUUUAAUUCUUGUGUACCUUUCGUUCCUCUAAUCAAUUCAAUCUUUUGUUGCUACUCUUAAUUCACAUUCACUCCUAAUUUCAUCACCACCUAAUACCCAUUUUCCACACACAAUGACACUAUUGGGCUCAGUCUUUCAAGUAUCUAAUUCGUUGAAAUAUAUUCCAAAGAAAGGUAUCUAAUUUGUUUGUUUGUUUGUGUUUUGUGCUAGGAUUGCUUCAUAUGUUGAUUUGUCAUCUCAGGAUAAAGAGGAUGGAUAUUAGCUUAAUAGGUAUUUUAUUCAUUUGAUUUGAUUUCUCUAUUACUACAGUUUGUUCUCUACAGUAAUUUAUCCGCUUUUCUUCCUGCUAUGUUAUGAAUUGAUUUCUUUGUUGGUUUUAUUUUCCAUUAACUUUUGAUGUACGUUCUUUCAUUUUUGUAAUCAAAUUAAGAAAUGUUGGCACUAAAAGGGGCGUGAGUUUCAUUUGUAAACUCAUUGCCUAUGUAUGACAAUGUGACAUUUGACAAACUCUUAGCUACAACUAGUUGGCUAAGUUGUGUUUUAUGCACCAUUGCAGCAG
This 902-nucleotide long non-coding RNA is filed under the name Trifolium pratense (red clover). RNAcentral describes it as "long non-coding RNA (TPRA_LNC007099)". Lineage: Eukaryota; Viridiplantae; Streptophyta; Magnoliopsida; Fabales; Fabaceae. The record is from RNAcentral.